Long non-coding RNA from Patella vulgata (common limpet), 8774 nucleotides. RefSeq lists it as uncharacterized. The record is from RefSeq and is a predicted model, not a curated record. Lineage: Eukaryota; Metazoa; Mollusca; Gastropoda; Patellidae. The transcript is spliced from 7 exons.
UUCAACAAUAGUUCCUUUAAUUUUAAUUCAACGUUACUGGAGGGAAAAGAUUAUGACCUUGUAGGUAGAAUGGUGUCUAAAGCUAUACUAUCUGGACAUCCAGGACCAGGUUGUCUUAAUAGUAUUGUUACAGAUUAUAUAUUGUAUGGAAAUAUUCCACAAUUUAGUGAUGUAGAAACAGACAUGGUAAAAAGAGCUGAUGCAGUAGCAGCAAUUAAGUCCUGUGUGUCAACAAUGGAAUCAACUUUAAUGAUGAUCAGUCACUGGAAGUUUUAGAGAUGUUCUUCUCUGGUUUUCCUCAAAUGAUUGGUUUAAAUCAUUUUCCAAACUUACAAAGUCUAACAAUUAUAGGGCAGUCCAUACAGCGAAUUGAAGGCUUGACUAUUCUCCAAAAUUUGCAACAGCUGUGGUUGUGUGAGUGUGAAAUCACGAAACAAUAAUACCAGAAUACCAGAAGCACCACCCAAGGAAGACCAUCAGCACCACCAACACCAAUAAACAGUGAAAUCGCCUUUGUAUAUAAAUCUAAAGUAUUAUUGUUUCAAGACAAACCUCUUCAAGCAAAAGGGCCAGAGUAGAUGUAGAGCCCUCAAGAGUUAUAGAAGAAAGAUCAUCUCCAUCAUAGUUACCAUCCAUUGAACACAAUUACCAUCAUGAUUUAAAUACCAUGAAAGAAAAAUGAGAAGAUGCCACCAAUAGACUGGAAAACACGCACAGUCCACCAACUUGCCUUAAAGUUACAAUUUCAUAUUUUUAAGUUAUAUUUUUAAAAUGUAUUAAAAUAAAGCCCUAAAAUAGAUGGUAUCUAUAAACAGUCCUACCUUGUUAAAGAAUAAUCCUAUAAUUCACUAUUGCCAGUUGAGAAAUUGGUAAAAAUAUCAUUUUCAACUUCAAAUUCAAACGUUUGAAGAUAGCUAUUCCAUGCUGGGGAAUAGGAAAACAAGGGAAGUAAUUGGGAGAUAAUUGUGUUAUUAUUUCCGGUGUGAAGAUUUUUAGGUGUGAGAAAGAUAACCUAUGAUCGUAUAAUAGUGAGUUGACAACCUAUUGAGCAAAAGACAUAGAAAUAAUUAUGUUUUGAAUUUCUUAGAAAAUAUGAAAUUGUAACUUUAACCAAACGCAGAGAAAAACGUGCAAAAAUGGUAAUUGAUGAAAAGAAAUUAUCAGAAAAGGCUCAACAAAUGAUUGAUUCAUAUAAAGAUAUUCCUGUUGACCUGUUCACUAAACCUGCUUCUGAAUACUCUGAAGACCAAAAGAAGUUUUCAACCACUCUGUAUUUUUAUGGACCGAAAGCCUACAACUAUUUAAGAAGCAAGGUCAACUUACCACACCAAUCCACGAUUAGAAGUUUAUUCCAGACUACACCAAACUAAAGUUUAUUUAUUAUUCCAUUUGUUUGAAUGAUACUGUUGUGGCUGAGUAACAUAAACCAGGUCUCUCUAGUCAAGUUAUAAACAUGCUUCAGCAAAAAGUUCAAAGUGAUGAAUGGACCUACAAACACCGCAGUCUGAUGAUUGAUGGCAUGUCCAUAAAAAAACACAUUGAUUGGGAUGCAAAUAACGGUCAAAUGGUUGGUUUUGUUAAUUUAGGUUCUGGACCAGUUGAAAAUGAUGCAGUUGAGGCACGUGAAGUCAUAGUGAUACUAGCUGUUGGUUUACAAGGUCACUGGAAAGUACCACUAGGUUAUUUCCUUGUUGAUGGAAUAUCAGCAGAGAUACACAGCCAGCUUCUUUUGACAGCAAUAUCAUCACUUUACCAAAUUUGUAUUAGAGUAACAUCUAUUGUGAUGGAUGGGCAUCCAACCAACCAAAGAAUGGCAAACAUUUUCGGAGGCAAUUUAAACCCUGACAACAUCAGAAGUACUUUCCAACAUCCAUCUAAUCCAGAAUUAAACAUAUAUAUAUUCUUUGAUGCUUGUCAUCUUCUCAAAAACUUCCGUGGAGCUCUCCAUUCUCUUCAACAACUGCAGGAAGAAACUUUUGGUACAGCAAAGUGGUCAGACAUAAAAAGACUUGAAGAAUUACAACGAAAUGAAGGCUUAAGAGCAGCUAUAGGCUAACAAAGAAGCACAUAGAAUUUACCAAUCAAAAAAUGAAUGUUAAAUUAGCAGUACAAGUUUUAAGUAGUUCGGUUGCUAAAUCCCUAGAAUUUGCUUCUUCAGUCUGUGAAGAUUUAGGAAAUUGUCAAGGAACAAUCAAUCUUGUUGCCAUGGUGGAUCGAAUGUUCGAUAUUUUCAACAGUAGAACGCCAGCUGCAAAAGGUUUUAAGCAUCCCAUUAAUGCAAAUUUUUUUUAGUCUUUUGAAUCCUUUUUGUUAUCCACCAGUUCUGUACUAUUAAACUUAAAAGACAUGACUGGUCAGAAAGUCUGCCAUGGAAAAAGAAAGAUAUGUAUCAUUGGUUUCUUGUGUAACAUUCAAAGCCGUCUUGGUCUUGCAAGAGAGAUGAUUUUAUCAAAUCCACCAGCACUGAAAUACUUGUUGACUUAAAAAUUGUCACAAGAUCACCUUGAGCUCCUUUUUUUCUGCCAUUAGGAGAUAUGGGGGAUAGAACAACAAUCCAUCUGCAGUACAAUUUUCGAAUGCAUAUAGAUCUCUACUAGGUCAUGUUGGUGUAAGCGGAACAAUCGAUUGCAACACCUCAUGUGUACCACAAGACAUAACCUCUAUCUUGGAAGUCAACAACACAGAAAUAAUUACCUUUGAAAAUGCUCUUGCAGACCAGGAUUAUCCCAUCAAUGGCAGAGGUAUCAGUUCAUUUGUAGAGGGUUUCCUUGAAAAUAUAGCUGGCUGGGUUGUUAGAACAUUGAUGUCUAAAGUUCAGUGUGUGCCCUGUGCCCAUGCCUUAGUAAAACCUAAAACUGAUACCAAAUAUGGGCUUCUAAAUAUAACAAACAAUGGAGGACUAUGCAUUCCAUCAAAUGAUGUUAUCCAGAUUGUUCGACAAUGUGAAGUUAUACUCAGUUCUUUUGUCAAUAUCAAAUAUGUUAAACCAAAUGAAUAGGAAAAUGUUGUUGUAUCUAAAGUUAUGAUGAAUUUACCUUCUACUUUAUUCUCUCAUCCGAAUGAUCAUUUCACAGAAACAUGUAAAGGAAUAGACACGCAUUAUUAUAAUUUGUUGAAAUUAGUUUGUAGUCAGUUCAUAAAGUUAAGAAGAUUUCAUGUGGUGAGAUUAACUAAUUUAGCACUACAGGGACAAUGUGUAAGACAAAAGUUAACAAGAACUGUACUUUUCCAACAUCAGUAGAAUUAUUAACUAUCUUAAUCUCUAUGUUUGACAAAAUAUAAAUGCUUGAAAUACUGUGUCGUAUUUAGCAUUGCUAUAUUAGUUAUAAUGACAGAUUCGUGUAAUCUGUAUAGGGGGUUGAGUCAACUGCCGUGGUUUCGAUUCCCCAUUCGUACGUGACAAGGAGUAGGGUCGCCUGUCCAACUUUGUGAGUUUUCUCUGGGUCCUCCGGUUUGCUCCCACUGCUAAAGACCCCUGUGAGCGCAAGUGAACUGUUCACAUAAAUUGAAAUGAAAUGAAAUGGAGUUUAAUGUCCUACUGUUCUGCUCCGAACUGGUCUAAUGAAGACGGACAUACGCCAUACAGUGUGCUAUGAGGGAAAUUUUGCCCGGACAGCGGCACUACGGCCCACUCUUACAUCGAAUUCCAACUGUCAAGGGAAGAUGUACACGGGACCUUGGUUUUUCGUCCAAUCCGAACGACUAGACAGCUGUACUUGUCAGGCCAUCCGUCCUGCAUCACUGACAAGAGGGGGACCACUCUGGAAAAUCUGGAUGAACUUUCUCUGCCAAUGCAGGGAUCGAAAACCUGACCUCCAGGCUAGCGAGCCAGCGUCUUACCAAAUAAAUUGAACCAUGUGUUAGUCCCAAAAUGACCUAGUGUGUGUCGAGUAGACAUUAAACCCCAUUUCUCUCUCUCUCUGUAACCUGUAUAAUUCAAAUAUAUAUUUGUUUGGUUAUUUGUAAAGGUACUCCCAAACUCCAAAAUGCAUAGACAUGAAAGAACUAAGAUGUGAAAAUAUUACAUGUAUAAGUAAAAUAUUCAACCUUUUACACAAGUCGCAAUUAAUCAGUUAAUAUAUAUAUGCAUUUGGUUGUGGCACAAUUUACCCAAAUCCGCAUAAAUCAAAUGCGAUUUCCAAGAAAAUUUUGAAAUUGUAAGCAAAUCCAUCAUUAUUCUAACUCAUAUCACAAUAAUUUAUAUCGAUAUUUGAUAAUAUACAGCUCUUUAUGCUAAAUUGUCAUUUUGAAAUUAAAAUCGUAACGGUCUUGUAGUAGUAGUUAGUUGUAUUUUACGUCCGCUUCCACCGAGGUGAUAUCGUAGACAAUAACAUGUUAUGUAUACAAGGUGCAAUAAUUUACAAUGUGAUUAGUGAGAAAAAUAGGAUAAUUAGGUUUUUCAUAUAUAUGUACAUAGGACAAUAGACAACAGUAGGAUAACAUGUGCAAAGGACGAUAAAAGUGCCAGUAGAGGUUCACAGACAUACGAAUUGACGGAACAGACAUGGACAAUGAUGGACAUUUUCACAGACAUGAACAUGUUAUGUACAUAUAUAUAUUUAUUGGGUCGUUUGGGUUGGUCUGGUCGUUCUGUUCGGUAGAAUGGCAGGGCGGUGCAACUCUUCCUUGGGGCUUUGUUGGUGAGUCUGAGUCCUGGUCCAUUCUUCCUUCCAUUUGGGUUUGUUGUCCGGUAUGGUGGCGUUGUUACAUCUUUAUUUCUGUUAUUCAUUCCUUUUAUUGUUGGUUCUCUGAAGGAAGAAUCCAGCACCUGAAAAAGAAAGCUAGAGAAAAGAGAGUAUCUGGUCUUACUGCGGUUUUGUGGUUAUUUCGUCUAGUAAGGCUUCGGGAGGGGGGGGGGGGGGCGGGGAUCAUUAUAAACUAAUAAUAAGAAUAAUAAGUGGAAUAAAAGAAAAUAGAUUGUUAAAUGAAUUGCAGAUAAAUAAUAAGAAUAAUAAGUUACUCAUGAAUUAUAUUAGUGGUAAAUUAAUGGUAAAUAUAUUGUUGCUUGACAUAGAUUUAAAAGAUACUGGUUGAUUCUUGAUUUAUUAAUUUUAUCGGAGGUUUAUUGGUAGUGUAGGGCGGUUUACGCUUCCUUCUAGAGGCCAUUUUUAUGUUCCGUCCUACUGUUAAUUUAGUAAUUUUAUUAAUUGAUUUAUUAAUUUUAUCUGAGGUUUAUUAGUGGUGUAGGGCGGUUUACGCUUCCUUCUAGAGGACAUUUUUACGUUCCACCCAACUGUUAAUUGAUUAAUUUUAUUAAUUAGUUUAUUAAUUUUAUCGGAGUUUUGUUAGUAGUGUAGAGCGGUUUACGCUUCCUUCUAGAGGACAUUUUUACGUUCCACCCAACUGUUAAUUGAUUAAUUUUAUUAGGGUUUCACACUGCGUAGCCACUAUUGUUUUUGUUCGGAUUAUUAUUCUUCUUAUUAUUAUUAUUAUUAUUUUUCCAUUUGAGCAUAUCUCAGAAACUACUUGUCGGAUCGAUUCGAUGUCUUCGGUUUUACUGGGAAAGUGGGUUUGACUUAAAUUUUAAAGCUUUUUCCAACGUUCUGCGACAAUGCGAAAUGUCCGAAAUCACCGAAGUUGUCGUUUUUCGAUAUUUUGCCGUAAUGUUAUCAAUUAUUGUCGGAUUGUAAUAUUUGAUACAUUUUGACAUAGCCAGAGACAAGGGACAUAGCUACAGUUUUUUGGAUUUUUUAUUUUCGACGAAUCUUAGGGGAUAUUAGGUGCCAAAUUUUGAAAAUUUAAAUUUUUACAAAAAACUUCUUUAUUAAUGAAUAUUUUUAUGUGGUAAUUUACUUAGGGUUAAAGAGUUAUCUGAUUUGACCAAAAAUGGCAACAUUUUUUGUCACCGUAUUUUUCCUUGGCCCCCAUUGGCUAAUUCAGUUUUUCAGUCCUGGAUUAAUUAUUUAUUGUUCGAUUUGUAUAAAACAAAGUUCAUAUGCUCCGUGGUCCAAAAUGUCAUUUUUUUUUGUUACCGGUACAUUUUCCUUUCGAUAGCGGAAGUGACGUAAAUUUAGCAAAAACUGCAAAUUUGAGAGUUCGGUACCACUUUUUGAAAGCAAAUAUUAUUUUUUUCAAAUCUGGUAUGACUGAAAGGGUGUGCCCUGUUAAGGCGUAAAAAUCAUCGCGCUCAGUUUUUUUAAUUUUUAUUUCGUUUUCGGAUCAUUUCGAUUUAAAGGCGAAAAAAGGUGAAAAAAUGAGCUAUUCAAAACCCAUUCAGGCUUUUCAUAUUUUAAUAUAUUUUUUCGAAACUUUCAUAAACUAGUAGCAAUAAUCCAUACGAAGAGAAUGUAUGUGAAAAUUAGUUUGUAAUAUGAGAAGUUGCCGAGAAAUGGGCAAUUUUGCAUGAGUCACACUUUACGCUAGUUUGCCUGUGAAAGAGUCAAUUAUUAUUCGAUUUUCAAAAAAAUGACACCAUUUGAUGCGUUAUGUCAAUUUUAACAAGGUCAAACCAAUUUAACAUUUCCAAUGUUACCGGAAAUGACGUAAUUUGGGCAAAAAUUGUAUUUAUAGCCUUCAAAACCAGUAUUUUAUUCAAAUGAGUCGUAUUUGUUAUGUGUUUAAAAUUUUGAUAUUUGAUCCCAAUCAACCAAUAGAAUGAACCCAUACAAUCAUAUAGGUAUCACAAAAUGGUUUCUAACUUGUUCAGUUGCGAAGAAAUAGACGAUUUUCAACAGGUAACUUUUCAAGGUUUUUGGUCCAUAAACGUGUUAAUUAUUAUUCGAUUUUCAUAAAAUGUUCACCGUGUGGUACCUAAUGCCAUUUACGAUUUCAUACAAGUAAUUUAACACUUUUACUGUCACCGGAAGUAUGUCAUUUUGGCAAAAACUGUAUUUUUAGCCUUCAAAACAGAUAUUUUAUUCAAAUGAGUCUAAUUUGUAAUGUUUUUAAAGUUAUGAUAUUUGAUUCCAAUCAACAAAUAGAUUCAACCCACACGAUCAUACAGAUACCAAAAAAUGGUUUCUAACUUGUACGGUUGUAGAGAAAUAGACGAUUUUCUACAAGUCCCUUUUCAAGGUUUUCGGUCUAUAAAAGUGGCAAUUAUUAUUCGAUUUACAUAAAAUGUUCUCCACGUGAUGCCUUAUGCCAUUUCUGAUUUCAUAAAACUAAUUUAACAUUUUCAUUAUAACCGGAAGUAAUGUAAUUUUGUCAGUAUCACUUACAUGUAACAAAAUGUAUACAAUGAAUUGAUAUUGCUGGAUUUGGUUGAUUCUGCGUACAUUUUAUUUGAUGUGUGCAAUGCUUAUAUGGAAACCUGUUUAAUGGUUUCAUCGGUACCGGAAGUGACAUAUGUUCAAGGGUAACGGGGCACCGGUGAAGCCCGUCAUUACUGCGUCGCAGUUUUAGUUAUUUUAUGUAUUUGGUCAUGCCUGUAUUUAUUAGUAGUGUAGGGCGGUUUACGCUUCCUUCUAGAGGAUAUUUUUACGUUCCGCCCUACUGUUUGAUUAAUUUUAUUAUUUUAUAUAUUUGGUCAUCCCUAUAUUCUCAAUAAAAUCCCAGAGAAGUUAGAAUGUCCAGUAUCUAUCGUCAGGUCGUGGAGAAAGGAGAGAUUUGAGACAGAGAGUUUUUCCCCUCUCUGCUAGAUUCUUAAUUACGGAUUGACGUUCUUUAUUUAAUUGAUUACAGUUGAUUAGCAGGUGUGACGUGGUCGCAAUUUGUCCACAUGGGCAUUUAAUUGGUGUAUAGGUGAAGUCUUUUAUUACGUUUAUCGUUUUAAGCCUCGUGAUGAGUUUGCAUAUUUUGAUUGAUGUAAACCUUGUCUACAAGAUUGCUAUCAAUUUGAUAGCGAUGAGUAUUCUCUUGUUUUAGACGGGUCUUCCAUGCAUUUUUAAUUUUAUCUUUAGCUAUGCUUGUGAAUUCCUGACUGCUGUAUUCUAAAUUUUCUAUAUCAUUUAAUGACAACCCUUCCUUGGCUAGCUUGUCAGCCUGUUCAUUGCCGAAGAUAUUGAUGUGGGAGGGGAUCCAUGCAAGGACUACCUCUCUUCCGUUGUUUUUGAUUGUUUGAUUAAUAUCCCUAAUUUGGUGGAUUAUGCCCUGUCUGCUUUUGGAAUAGUCUAUUCGAUGGAUUUGAUGCUACUUAGGGAGUCUGACAAGAUAACGGCUUUUUGGUGUGUUUGGGUGGCUAGCCAUUCUAUUGCAGUUUUAAUGGCCAUCAAUUCUGCGGUGUACACAGAACAAUGUUCUGGUAUCCUUUUCCUGAUGUUUAGCUUUGCUUUGGGUUUGAAAAUGCCGUACCCUGUUAAUCCCUGUGUAUUAUUUUUCGACCCAUCUGUAUAGAUUUUGAGAUAGUCUGUCCAUUUGGUGUCUAUUAGUUCUAAUGUUAGUGCUCUAGCCUCUAUAAGCGUGUUUGUUUGUAACGUUAAUUAGGUGCGUGUUGAUGUGUCAAAAUUCCCCCUAAAUACGCAAUUUCCCAGUAAGUUUGGAAGUUGUAACCAAGGGACAUAACUUGUGUAUUUCACGAAAUCACUUGCUUGUUUGUAAAUUGCAUUUUGCGGUACAGUUUUGAAACAAAUUUUACGAUUUUAAAUUGAAAAUGUCAAUUUGACAUAAAGAAGGGUAUAUUAUCAAAUACAUGUAGAUAUAAAAUAUUAUAAUCAGAGUUGAAAUAAUGUUGGAUUUGGGUACCGGUACAUGUGAAUUUGGGUAAAUAUGUGCUAUCGUGCAUUUGGCACAUAUGGCUGUCAUUGAGCAAUGAAAUGUAAAACCUGUGCUAAAAAUAAGAUGAAAAAAAUUAUUCAUGUAAUGGUGUAUUUGUAAUUAAAUCUAAUAUUUGUUCA